Molecule: transfer RNA, 81 nt
Filed under: compost metagenome
Description: tRNA-Arg
Source: RNAcentral
ACGAUGCUGGCCAAGGUGGAGCAUUGCGCCAUCUUCGCCCUGGCGAGUGCUUCCAUGCGUUCGAUUCAUCUGCUUUGUGCC